CUAUUGCAGGCAGCAAAGCAGCGUUGGAUCCCAGCCACAAUACUUCUGCAACCAGGUGUGAAUGAGCCUGAUGGGAUAUGAUUAUGGAACCUACACUGAAAAAGGGAGAGGGAUUAAAAUCUGUGUUCACAGGCUGAGAGCAGGUGUCUGCGAUGAGAUCCCAUGCUGUGACAUGCAUGCAGCACAUUCUUACAUGAAAAGCCCUGGCUGAUGAAGUGACCACAGGAAGACAACACGGAACCCUCCUGGCAGGAUCAGAAGAAGCUUAAUUAAGCUCUGUGGUUAAUGUUAAAGUGAGUGUGUGCCUGUUUCAGAUGAGC
This 320-nucleotide long non-coding RNA is filed under the name Chrysolophus pictus (golden pheasant). RNAcentral describes it as "lncRNA (ENSCPIG00010012527.1)". Lineage: Eukaryota; Metazoa; Chordata; Aves; Galliformes; Phasianidae. The record is from RNAcentral.